RNAcentral lists this ribosomal RNA (253 nucleotides) under uncultured bacterium. Its description in RNAcentral is "partial 16S ribosomal RNA". It matches the Rfam family "Bacterial small subunit ribosomal RNA", at positions 524 to 776 of the family's 1533-position model. The record is from RNAcentral.
UACGGGGGGGGCAAGCGUUGUUCGGAAUUACUGGGCGUAAAGGGCUCGUAGGUGGCCAACUAAGUCAGACGUGAAAUCCCUCAGCUUAACUGGGGAACUGCGUCUGAUACUGGAUGGCUUGAGUUUGGGAGAGGGAUGCGGAAUUCCAGGUGUAGCGGUGAAAUGCGUAGAGAUGUGGAGGAACACCGAUGGCGAAGACAGCCUUCUGGGCCAACACUGACGCUCAUGCACGAAAGCGUGGGGAGCAAACAGG